GCCUGGCUGGCUCAGUCAAUAGAGCAUGGGACUUUUGAUCUUGGGGUCAUGGGUUCAAGCCCCAUGUUGGGAG
This is a non-coding RNA of Ailuropoda melanoleuca (giant panda), 73 nucleotides long. Lineage: Eukaryota; Metazoa; Chordata; Mammalia; Carnivora; Ursidae. The record is from Rfam.